GCCCGCUUCGGCAGCACAUGUACGAAAACUGGGAUGAUACGGAGAAGAUUAGCGUGGCCCCUGCUCAAGGGUGACACACAGAUUCGUGAAGCGCUCCAUGUUCUU
This is a small nuclear RNA of Kogia breviceps (pygmy sperm whale), 105 nucleotides long. The record is from RefSeq and is a predicted model, not a curated record. Lineage: Eukaryota; Metazoa; Chordata; Mammalia; Artiodactyla; Physeteridae.